RNAcentral lists this ribosomal RNA (330 nucleotides) under uncultured eukaryote. Its description in RNAcentral is "partial 18S ribosomal RNA". It matches the Rfam family "Eukaryotic small subunit ribosomal RNA", at positions 1470 to 1796 of the family's 1831-position model. The record is from RNAcentral.
CCCUUAGACGUUCUGGGCCGCACGCGCGCUACACUGACACAGGCAACGAGCUUUCCUUUACCGAAAGGUAUGGGUAAUCUUUUGAAACUGUGUCGUGCUGGGGAUAGAUCCUUGCAAUUUUUGAUCUUAAACGAGGAAUUCCUAGUAAGCGCGAGUCAUCAACUCGCGUUGAUUACGUCCCUGCCCUUUGUACACACCGCCCGUCGCUACUACCGAUUGAAUGGUUUAGUGAGAUCCUUGGAUCGGCCCUGUCGCGGCUGGCAACGGCCGCGUCGGCGCGUCGAGAAGACGAUCAAACUUGAUCAUUUAGAGGAAGUAAAAGUCGUAACA